AUUGAACGCUGGCGGCAUGCCUUACACAUGCAAGUCGAACGGUAACAGGUCUUCGGAUGCUGACGAGUGGCGAACGGGUGAGUAAUACAUCGGAACGUGCCCGAUCGUGGGGGAUAACGGAGCGAAAGCUUUGCUAAUACCGCAUACGAUCUACGGAUGAAAGCAGGGGACCGCAAGGCCUUGCGCGGACGGAGCGGCCGAUGGCCGAUUAGGUAGUUGGUGGGAUAAAAGCUUACCAAGCCGACGAUCUGUAGCUGGUCUGAGAGGACGACCAGCCACACUGGGACUGAGACACGGCCCAGACUCCUACGGGAGGCAGCAGUGGGGAAUUUUGGACAAUGGGCGGAAGCCUGAUCCAGCCAUGCCGCGUGCAGGAUGAAGGCCUUCGGGUUGUAAACUGCUUUUGUACGGAACGAAAAGACUCUUUCUAAUAAAGAGGGUCCAUGACGGUACCGUAAGAAUAAGCACCGGCUAACUACGUGCCAGCAGCCGCGGUAA
Molecule: ribosomal RNA, 498 nt
Filed under: uncultured bacterium
Lineage: Bacteria
Description: partial 16S ribosomal RNA
Rfam family: Bacterial small subunit ribosomal RNA
Source: RNAcentral